GGAGUAAGGGGAGGAACUGGAAGAACUGGGAAAGAGAUGAGGACAGCAGGAGCAAAGGCUCACCAAGGAAAUAAAAGACCGGUUUUGAUCACUAAAAACAGAAGAUAAAAUGCUCAUGUUCGAGAAUGCACUCAACCCACUGUAAGAGAUUGUGCCUAAAAGUUUGCUGGAGGGAUGGCAGAAAUGGAUUAGCUAAGUGGCUCUGGCUCAGGGACUCUCAGGAAACUUCAGUCAAGAUGUCAGCUGAGUCUACAGUCAUCUGAAGGCUUGACUGGGGCUGGAGAAUCUGCUUCCAAGAUGGUGCACUCACAUGGCUGGAAUGUCGGUGCCUCAGUUCCUCUCCAGUGGGACUCUCCAGAGGGCUGCUUGAGUGUCCUCACAACACGGCAGCUGGCUUCUCCCAGAACAAGUGAUCCAAGAGGGCAAGGCAGAAGCAGCAAUGUUUCUUAUGACCUAGCACAGGAAGUCACAUAUCAUCAGUUAUGCCUUAUUUUAUUAGUCACAUCAUUCAACCCUGAUACGCUGUGGCAAAGGACUGCACAAGGGUGUGAAUACCAGGAGGAGCACUGGGAGCCAUCUUGGAGACUGGUUGCCACAAAUUAUUAACAUAAAUUGCAGAUGAAUUAUUUAACAAGAGGGAAUUGGAUUAAAUACCUCUCUAUUCUGGCAAUCAACAUCUGACUACUACCAUUAUUUAAAAAAUUCCAAAUGAGUAAAGCCAAAUUAAAAAUUUGAGCUCUUUCAGGGGGAAAGAUUUAUGAUCAACGUCAAGACAGAUCAUUAGCACAGGACUAUGGAAGGCCAUGUAUAAUGUGCUUGGUUCUACUCAUUGCCAUUGUAAGCAUAGAGCCCUUGGGUCUUGGUACCUUUUCCAGAUUCUCUGAAAUACCUAACAGGCCUUCAAUAGCUGUUCUAUGCCAGCUAUUGUGUUAUCUUCAUGAGGCUACUCAGCUCACUUGGCUUGAG
RNAcentral lists this long non-coding RNA (966 nucleotides) under Equus asinus (donkey). RNAcentral's name for it is "lncRNA (ENSEASG00005037757.1, ENSEASG00020033477.1)". Lineage: Eukaryota; Metazoa; Chordata; Mammalia; Perissodactyla; Equidae. The record is from RNAcentral.